Long non-coding RNA from Neltuma alba, 782 nucleotides. RefSeq lists it as uncharacterized. The transcript has 4 exons. The record is from RefSeq and is a predicted model, not a curated record. NCBI's taxonomy places the organism in Eukaryota, Viridiplantae, Streptophyta, Magnoliopsida, Fabales, Fabaceae.
UGUACGUUGGAAUUUCUACACCUGAACACCUUCUCUGAAUCAUACCCAUUGGUCUAUGCGGCAAGAAAUUAGCCGUAGAUACAUAUGUCUUUAGAGUAUGUGACCUGACUAUAAAUGGUCUAUGGCUCUAUAGGUCUAUAGAAAUGGCUUCCUGAGCCAAAGAAAUAGCCCAAAUGAGGGUCUUUCUUGAAUUUGCCUUAGUGGCAAUAUGUCUAUUUAUGGCUUGAUGCUUUCCGGAAAUGGACCAUUCACCAACAACCUCGAUUCGGUUUGGAUCACACGAAACACAAUACAACUUGGAGGUUCAUCUGUCCUGCAGAAGACACACCAAACUUCUGCAUGAAGAACCAGACCUCGACAACACAUUUACCACUAUGUCACAGACUAAGGUCAGAAGUACCUAUUCUUGCAGUAGCAAAAGGUGGAGUCAAUUCGUACCAGUGCAAGUAUCCAACACACCAUUAUACCAUUAUAAGUAUCCAACACACCAUUUAGGUUUUGCACAACCAUGAAACUAUUAAGAUGGUAUCUUAAAAUGAAGACAGAGAUCUUCCUUCAUUACUGAACGGUGCAACAAGAGCGAGAGAUAAAGAGAUAGAUCUUCCUCUCUCUCUCUCUCAAUUACCACACACGGUAUAGUUAUUGGAGGCAAGUAAAUUGUCUACUGUUUCAUGUACUAAAGCAUAGUAAGUGUGAUGUACCUAUUAAUAUACUAUGAAUAUUGUGUAAUGUACUCUGUGCUUCUAUCGUGUUAAUACAAAAAUUUAUGUUGGAGGGCAUCA